AGAACGACUCUCGGCAACGGAUAUCUCGGCUCUCGCAUCGAUGAGAACGCAGCGAAAUGCGAUACUUGGUGUGAAUUGCAGAAUCCCGUGAACCAUCGAGUCUUUGAACGCAAGUUGCGCCCAAAGCCUUCGGGCCGAGGGCACGUCUGCCUGGGUGUCACGC
Molecule: ribosomal RNA, 163 nt
Filed under: Cicca ankaratrae
Lineage: Eukaryota; Viridiplantae; Streptophyta; Magnoliopsida; Malpighiales; Phyllanthaceae
Description: Phyllanthus ankaratrae 5.8S ribosomal RNA
Rfam family: 5.8S ribosomal RNA
About the family: 5.8S ribosomal RNA (5.8S rRNA) is a component of the large subunit of the eukaryotic ribosome. It is transcribed by RNA polymerase I as part of the 45S precursor that also contains 18S and 28S rRNA.
Source: RNAcentral